GGUCAACACAGAGAAAGGCCUACACUGGCUUCAGACAGAAAAGCGCUUUCAGGUUGUCCUCAGCUAUGAGGUGGACCAAGUAUUGGAAGGGACUUCCUUCACAUUUGUGUUGAUGAAGAAGCUGAACCUCAGCGAGAUUUCUCGAUGGUCAAUAGACUGCCUGUCUUCAGGUCCUGCCUGUACGUCCUGGGUACACAUCCUGGGUGCAUGCCCUCCGAGCUCUGUCACCUUGGGGAGAGUGAGUGGCCCAUUCCCUAUCUGCCUCCAUCACAAGGGCACCUGCCUCGGCCCAUGGGAUGUCCGCAAAGGCCUUUCAUCCCAGGCACAGAAUGGAAACAUCCUCCAGGACCGUCAACCCUGCAGCCUGGCGCCAGGUAGCACUUUGUCAACUGUCU
This is a long non-coding RNA of Peromyscus californicus insignis, 395 nucleotides long. RefSeq lists it as uncharacterized. The record is from RefSeq and is a predicted model, not a curated record. The transcript has 3 exons. Lineage: Eukaryota; Metazoa; Chordata; Mammalia; Rodentia; Cricetidae.